RNAcentral lists this ribosomal RNA (871 nucleotides) under Catathelasma ventricosum. RNAcentral describes it as "partial large subunit ribosomal RNA". It matches the Rfam family "Eukaryotic large subunit ribosomal RNA", at positions 79 to 923 of the family's 3401-position model. The record is from RNAcentral. Lineage: Eukaryota; Fungi; Basidiomycota; Agaricomycetes; Agaricales; Biannulariaceae.
CCUAGUAACUGCGAGUGAAGCGGGAAAAGCUCAAAUUUAAAAUCUGGUGGUCUUUUUAAGGCUACCCGAAUUGUAAUCUAGAGAAGUGUUAUCCGCGCUGGACCGUGUACAAGUCUCCUGGAAUGGAGCCUCAUAGAGGGUGAGAAUCCCGUCUCUGACAUGGACUACCAGGGCUUUUGUGAUGCGCUCUCAAAGAGUCGAGUUGUUUGGGAAUGCAGCUCAAAAUGGGUGGUAAAUUCCAUCUAAAGCUAAAUAUUGGCGAGAGACCGAUAGCGAACAAGUACCGUGAGGGAAAGAUGAAAAGAACUUUGGAAAGAGAGUUAAACAGUACGUGAAAUUGUUGAAAGGGAAACGCUUGAAGUCAGUCACGUUGGCCAGAAAUCAGCCUUGCAACCUGUGUGCUUGGUGUAUUUUCUGGUAAACGGGUCAGCAUCAAUUUUGACCGGUGGAUAAAGGCCAAAGGAAUGUGGCAUCUUUUGGAUGUGUUUAUAGCCUUUGGUCGCAUGCAUCAGUUGGGAUUGAGGAACUCAGCACGCCGCAAGGGCGGGUUUUGUACCACGUUUCGUGCUUAGGAUGCUGGCAUAAUGGCUUUAAUCGACCCGUCUUGAAACACGGACCAAGGAGUCUAACAUGCCUGCAAGUGUUUGGGUGGAAAACCCGAGCGCGCAAUGAAAGUGAAAGUUGAGAUCCCUGUCGUGGGGAGCAUCGACGCCCGGACCGGACCUUUUGUGAUGGCUCCGCGGUAGAGCAUGUAUGUUGGGACCCGAAAGAUGGUGAACUAUGCCUGAAUAGGGUGAAGCCAGAGGAAACUCUGGUGGAGGCUCGUAGCGAUUCUGACGUGCAAAUCGAUCGUCGAAUUUGGGUAUAGGGG